UACGUAGGGCGCGAGCGUUGUCCGGAAUUAUUGGGCGUAAAGCGCACGUAGGCGGUUUGUUAAGUCGGAUGUGAAAUCCCUCGGCUCAACUGAGGAAGUGCAUCCGAAACUGGCAGGCUUGAGUACUAAAGAGGGUCGCGGAAUUCCCGGUGUAGAGGUGAAAUUCGUAGAUAUCGGGAGGAACACCGGUGGCGAAGGCAGGUCACUGGGCCGCAACUGACGCUGAGGAGCGAAAGCAUGGGGAGCGAACAGG
RNAcentral lists this ribosomal RNA (253 nucleotides) under uncultured bacterium. RNAcentral's name for it is "partial 16S ribosomal RNA". It matches the Rfam family "Bacterial small subunit ribosomal RNA", at positions 524 to 776 of the family's 1533-position model. The record is from RNAcentral.